This 392-nucleotide long non-coding RNA is filed under the name Mytilus galloprovincialis (Mediterranean mussel). Lineage: Eukaryota; Metazoa; Mollusca; Bivalvia; Mytilida; Mytilidae. The record is from RNAcentral.
CUUGUAUGUCAAGAAACAUAGCUCCUAUGGCUAAAAUAGAACAUAAGGAGAAAAUGAUUAUUUUUUUUGGCUUUUGAAGAAAAUAGGACGAUCCAAAAAACAUUUAAAUAAAUUGAAAAGCCAAAAUAAUCAUUGAUGAGAGAUUUAACCAAAAGAAUUAAGGUGAGCGAUUCAGGCUCUUGAGAGCCUCUUGUUUCCAUUAGGGUUAUAUAUUUGUUCAUCAAAAAGACUGCUUAUCCAGAAAUGUAUUUAGCUAAUUCAAUCACUACAGCAUUAAUAAAUUGUUUUUUUGAACAAGUAUUUCGAUUUGCAUUUUGAUACAUAUACUCAAAAACCACUAGCCAUACAUAUAUAUAUAUAUAUAUAUUAUGCAUCAUAGAAUAAAAUUUUAA